Long non-coding RNA from Asterias rubens (European starfish), 612 nucleotides. RefSeq lists it as uncharacterized. The transcript has 5 exons. The record is from RefSeq and is a predicted model, not a curated record. NCBI's taxonomy places the organism in Eukaryota, Metazoa, Echinodermata, Asteroidea, Forcipulatida, Asteriidae.
UGACUGUUGCCAUUGACUGAUGUUACAUCAUGAAGGAGAUACUGAGCUGCCUCUCUGAGUGAACUCAACUUUCUUCACUGCUGACAUCUUGUUCAAGAAGUUAUUUGACUGUUGCCGUUGACUGAUGUUACAUCAUGAAGGAGAUACUGAGCUGCCUCUCUGCGUGAAGUCAACUUUCUUCAUUGCGGACAUCUUGUUGAAGAAGUUAUUUGCCUGUUGCCAUUGACUGAUGUUACAUCAUGAAGGAGAUACUGAGCUGCCUCUCUGAGUGAACUCAACUUUCUUCACUGCUGACAUUCUUUUCAAGAAGUUAUUUGACUGUUGCCAUUGACUGAUGUUACAUCAUGAAGGAGAUACUGAGCUGCCUCUCUGAGUGAAGUCAACUUUCUUCACUGCGGACAGCUGGUUUUCGAAAACGCCCGUUUUGAAAAGGUGUCCUUUGUGUGGAAGAGGGCGCUCCACCGUGCGGAGACCGUAUAAAAUGCCAGGUCCUUGGGCCAUUGGUUUCAUUCUUGUUCUGAUGCUGGUCGUGGAAGGUGCCUUGCCGAUGCUCUUGAUGUUCUGAGCAUGAUGAUGUCAACCUUUGGGUCCUUAGUGGUCUCAGUCCCGUAC